UUGUCCAUAGGCAAAGCAUGU
Molecule: unclassified non-coding RNA, 21 nt
Filed under: Mus musculus (house mouse)
Lineage: Eukaryota; Metazoa; Chordata; Mammalia; Rodentia; Muridae
Description: oocyte_clustered_small_RNA11613
Source: RNAcentral